GAAACAGGUGCUAAUACCGUAUAACACUAUUUUCCGCAUGGAAGAAAGUUGAAAGGCGCUUUUGCGUCACUGAUGGAUGGACCCGCGGUGCAUUAGCUAGUUGGUGAGGUAACGGCUCACCAAGGCCACGAUGCAUAGCCGACCUGAGAGGGUGAUCGGCCACACUGGGACUGAGACACGGCCCAGACUCCUACGGGAGGCAGCAGUAGGGAAUCUUCGGCAAUGGACGAAAGUCUGACCGAGCAACGCCGCGUGAGUGAAGAAGGUUUUCGGAUCGUAAAACUCUGUUGUUAGAGAAGAACAAGGAUGAGAGUAGAACGUUCAUCCCUUAACGGUAUCUAACCAGAAAGCCACGGCUAACUACGUGCCAGCAGCCGCGGUAAUACGUAGGUGGCAAGCGUUGUCCGGAUUUAUUGGGCGUAAAGCGAGCGCAGGCGGUUUCUUAAGUCUGAUGUGAAAGCCCCCGGCUCAACCGGGGAGGGUCAUUGGAAACUGGGAGACUUGAGUGCAGAAAAGGAGAGUGGAAUUCCAUGUGUAGCGGUGAAAUGCGUAGAUAUAUGGAGGAACACCAGUGGCGAAGGCGGCUCUCUGGUCUGUAACUGACGCUGAGGCUCGAAAGCGUGGGGAGCGAACAGGAUUAGAUACCCUGGUAGUCC
Molecule: ribosomal RNA, 656 nt
Filed under: uncultured bacterium
Lineage: Bacteria
Description: bacterial SSU rRNA
Rfam family: Bacterial small subunit ribosomal RNA
Source: RNAcentral